CUUCACUUUUGGAUUUGUUGGUAUAAGUGUGGAUACCAAUUGGCGUAGCCUUUCAACGUGCCAUUUUACGUCUUCAAUAUUAUCGGUGAUCCGGUCAAACGUGGCAUCGACAUUGGUGGCAGCCAUGGUAUCUAAAAUAAAAAUAACAACGAACAACAAAACAAACAAACUUGUUAGCUUAAAAAUGCCUCACCACACUCUCACUCUCGAUUUUUAUCUCACACUUAAUUUCACAAGUGUUGAAAGCCGGAUGGUAUUUCGUGAGUGAUUGAGGGUCGAGUCUACUCUUGCCUGGAAUAGAUUUUCAUUUGAGUUGAGUCAAAGAAAAUUUAUUUACGGACUUGAACCAACAAAAUACAAUGAAUUCACAAAAGAGAAAAGCACAUAACAAAUUCUUAACACGAAUGAACGAACACAAAGACUAACUAAAAAUCUAGUUGAUGAGUACUAGUUUGCCAAUUAGUAUUGGAACCAACAAAAUUGAAACCAAGGAACAACAAAAGGAAACUAAGAAAUCUGAAAUUUGAGCUUAAGUAUGUUGUGUGAACAGUAAAAUAUGAUGAUGUGGAAGCCAUGUAGUAGUCUCGAUCCCACACAACUUUUGUUGUAAAAUUUCAAGUGUUGGUCAAUUUUUCAAUUUGGACUUUGGUGGAAUUUGUUUAAGGAGGUUCAAACAAGUCUUGGAGCCCUUUUCAAUUUCAAGUUUUAAUGACUUGACUCUCUUGUAAUUCUCCUUAAAAUAUGGAUCCUUAAAUCAUGAAAAAGUAUUGGAAAGUGGUUGAGACUUGAUUGACAGGGCUUUGCUGGUUAUAGUGUCUUUUAAGACUUACAAAUAAUACACCCUUUUCCUUCAACUUUUUGGAUUUAGCAUUCACUUUAUAUUCAACAAUAUAUGAAGGUGGUGAUGAACAUCAAUAACAACAACAACAACACCAAGAACUACAACAAUAGUCUUCAAGAACACUAAUAAUUUUUACAUGGCCACUCCCGAAUUCCAUAAUAACAAUAUCUCCAACACUUGGCCAAGAUAACUAAAACUACAACAAAAUGGUUCUCGAGCCACCAAUUAACAACAAUAUCACAUGGUCAAGCUUAGAUCAUCAAGAAGAAACCACACGGCCAAAAAAAUCCACCAUAACAAUGUUCAACAACAAUGGGCCAAGUUUAUGUUCACAACAACAACAUCAAAAUACAAGCUCAAAUCAAGAUAUAGACUCAAUAUUUUAGUGAGGAACAAAACUAACACUUAGAGAUAACAAAGACAAGUAUAAAUCUCGGCCAAGACACAACAAAAACAAAAUUUUUGGCCAAGAACACGAAAUAGACAGAUUGCUCUCUUUUCUUGAAUUUUCAGUUUUCAACUUUUUUUUUUUCUACUCUCAAGCCUAAGAUUGAUCUUGUAGGAACAAGAUCAAGCCAUGAUUUGAUACCAAAUGAUACAAGAUAACCAAGGAGACACAAAACAAACACCAUAAUCAGUCCACUAGUCAAGAAACCGAGGACCUCUUUUGGUGACCACUCUCGGAUUCUCUACCAGUAAGAAGAAUACAAGGCACAAUGGUGUAUGAAACACUAAAAAGGCAACAAAACAACAAGAACAAGAUAAAAAAUAGACAAGUUUUGAAUUCCACAUUAAGAACACAAAUACACAGUUACAACAUCAACACUACUACAUGAUUACAAAGAAAUAGAAGGACAGAUAGUUAGACAAAAUGAAGGCAUAAUCUUAAAAACCCAAGAGCCUAUUCCACUCUUAGACCUUUAACAUCACACACAACAAAUACCUAACUCUUACGUUGGUACAAAAUUGACAUUGAUCUUCCAAACAUCUAACAUUUCCAACUUUCAAUCCAACACGAGUGAUUCCACACUCAUGUUGAAAGCCCUAGUUAUAAGUUUCAUCCAUGGGGGACAUUCUCACAAGAGAGAGUGUUUCAAGUGUUACAACUUUCAAUAUUCAACAACAACUAAGUAAUAAAUAACCUAACAUAUUCUAUUUAUAGUAGGUUACAAAAAUAGUGUGAAAUAUCCAAAAGACCCCUUAGUCAAAUGCUUCACUUUAUGCUCCCUUGGAGUGUAGAAUGUGGACUAUUUUUGGAGCCUGUUUAGGCCCUCCUUUGCACUUCAUUUGAACACUCCAAGACUCGGGUUCAAUAUAUCUCACAUAUAUCUACCUUCAUGGUCGUACUCGUAUCAAGUUGGGAGUAGGAUUAGCACCAAGUGAACCCAGGGAUGGGUGUAUUCCUGUUAGCGUAGGGUUUGAACCUUAGUAGCAAUCCCUUAGUUAUAGAACUACGUAGCUAGCAUAGGUUGAGAUGACUUUUUGAAAGAUAAGGGUUGACACAUCUCUCAUGAGUUUUCCUGUCAGUGAGGGUUGACAAAAUAUCUUCCUUCUAGUUAGGGUUAACUCACAGCUAGUGUUAAUACUCGUGGAAUGGCAUUGACACCCUUCCAAUUAGGGUUACAGGUUGGACCCCAAUCAGCUAAGAGAAGGGUAUAUCGGUUAGAUGAUUACCUCCCACUAUUUUAUCUUUAGUCUUUAAUUUAGAACUCAGUUCAGCUCUACAGAAUCAAGACUGUCAGACAUAAUUAAUCAGUAUUAGAAAAUUAGUUAUCAAUAAUUUCAGAUAUCAGUAUUACAGUAUUCAAAAAUCAGUACUUAACUUCAGAAUAGCUACUCUUAUAUUCAGUUACACUAUAUUAUUUAGUUAAUUAUUAUUCAUGUAUAUGAACCCUUGAAUUCAGACUUACCUCAUCUAGCAUACCAGUACAUUCUCACAUACUGAUGCAUACUUUCUAAGCUAUGAUAUUUUAUAUCAUAGGUUCGGACGCUCAGGUUCCUGAAUGUGCUUAGCCAGACUCAGCCAGCAGUAGCAGAUUUAGUAGUGAGUCCUCAUCUAUCGAGGAUAUGCUUUUAUUUCAGUGCUUAAGCUUAGCAAUAUUUUAGUAGAUGGAGUUAGUUGGGGGAUUAUCCCAUCAACUCCACUUUCAGACAGAUUUAGUUAGAGGCUUUUUAGACUAGAUUUUCAGAGAGUAUUUUAGAUUCAGAUGUUAUAUUUUAUUAGUAUUUAAGAUGUUUUGAACUUUAUGGAAUUUCAGCCUAAUUUUUCUACAUUAAUUUUAGUAUUAUUAUUCAGUGCUCAUAGCAGAUAUCAUUCAUGGGUUAACUUAUGUUCCUUCGAGCUCAUAAGCACUGUGUGACAACUAGGGGGUAGUCUCGGGUCGUUACAAACAUGGUAUCAAAGCCUAAGGUUCAAUAGUAUCCUAAGAAGUCUAUAAAACCGCAUCGCAUAGAGUCUUUUGUAUGGGUGUGCUGCGUGCCACACUUAUGGACAGGAGGCUAUGAGAUGUUUUAGGAAAAGUUUCCCUUCUUUUAGUAUUCAUAUCGUGCGAGUGAGCAUGAGCUCAAUUUAAUCUCUCAGUCUAAUCCACUUCUUCCUUUUAUUUACAAAAUAUGCUUCCCAAAAGGACUAAUGAAAGAAGAAUCAAAAACCAUUCAGCCCCUCAGCCCGUUCAGGCAGAUCCCCUGGACGAACAUGUCUCUCACAUAAAAUUCAGAGUUGCAUUCACUACUCUAGCCAAUUCGGUCGCAGCCCUAAAUAAAUGGCCAACUGCUGUUCUGGCCAACCAAGUGGCCAAUACUGCUGCAACCAGGAUUAGAGACUUCACCCGAAUGAAUCCUCCUUCCUUUAUAGGAUCUAAGUCAGAAGAGAAUCCACAUGAGUUUCUCGAUCAGGCUAAAAAAGUCACAAAUAUCAUGGGAGUGACUUCCAAUGAAAGUGCCAAGUUAUCCACUUAUCAUCUAAAAGAUAUAGCCAUACAUGGUUUAAUCAGUGAAAGGUAGACAAGGGUAUAGAUACAGAGCUGAUAAAGUGGAAAAAAUUUCUACUGCCUUCCUAGAUAGAUUCUUUCCCUUAGAGUUGAGAGAAGAUAAAGUGUUAGAGUUCAUCAAUCUCAAAUAAGGUAGUAUAAGCAUAAAAGAGUAUUCCCUUAACUUUACUCAGUUAGCCAGGUGUGCUCCAUAUGUAGUAGUAGACAAUAGGCCCAGAAUAAGAAAGUUUGUAUCUGGGGUGUCAGAUAGGGUGGUUAAGGAGUGAAAAAUAGAAAUGCUGAUUAAAGAGAUAGGCAUAUCUAGGCUUAUGGUCCAUGCUCAACAGAUUGAGGAGUAAAAGCUUAAUAAGAAGGAGAGAAAGAAUUAAAAUGCUAGAACAGGUAGCUUUAAUUUUAGUCAGCCUAAGUCAGAAGAUAGUAACCAUUCCCAGUUUCAUCCAAAAUCUUCAGUUCCAGCUUCAUCUUCAGCUAGUGCGCCAGUACCAAAAUUCAAGAAUGACCAUUGGGAUAGGGCGCAGGCUCCAAAACCCAGGGUAGUGUGAGCAGUGGUCGUAGCCAUCCACUUUGUGAAGAAUAUGGUAAAAAUCACCUAGGUGUGUGUAAAUUCGGUAGUAAUAUGUGUUUUAGAUGUGGAAAGUUAGGUCAUAGAGUCCGAGAAUGUCCUAAGGCUAGUCUGCAAAGUCAGCACAGUCAUCUUCCAGUUCUAUCCGAUCUCCCAACUCAGAAGGGCUCUACUUCCAGUACCACUAGUGGUCAACACUAGAGCAGAUUUUAUGUACUCCAGUAUCACCAUGAUCAGGGAAGUUCUCCUGAUAUAGUUAUGGGUACGUUAUAAGUUUUUCAUCUUUAUGUUUAUGCCUUGUUAGAUCCCGAGGCUUCUCGUCCUUUAUAACCCCUAUAUAGCCAUCAACUUUGGUGUCAGACCCGAAAUAUUAGCAGAGCCCUCCUCAGCGUCUACCUCAGACUCUAGAAGUAAAGUGAUGAUAGUUUUGUUUGGAGUUUAUUAAGUGAUCCACAGGUUUAGAAUAAUGGCUCUAAACUAAAGGGGAGAUAGUAGAACAAGUAACCAAGUCAGGCAUUUAAAUUUUAGUGGUAAAGUCAGUACUCAUGCCUUAUAUGUUAGUUCUAUAAUCACAGAUCAUAUUCGCGUACAUCAUCGAAAAAUCAUGCAUGCCUAAAAUUCUUAGUAUAAGGAGUUCUAGUUCACUCAGUACUCAGUUCCAUUAUAGUCUCAGUUAUCAUCUUAGAUGCAGUCUCAGUCACAGUCUUAGCCUAGUAAUCAGAUCAGUAUCUCUAUUUAAAGACUAUUUUAUAAUCAAAUUAUAUGCUAGGUCCUGCAAUCUUAGAUAAUUCAGUUUUCACGAAUUCAUGAUCAGUUAUGUCAUGAUACUCAGUCAGUCCCUUUCUCAUAUUCAUAAUGCUCUACAGUUUUAGUCCAAUUAUUUUGACCAAGUAUAGUUCAGUCUCAUGCGCCCAAUAUUCCCCUAUUAGCCAUUAAGUUAAUCAAAUAAGUUAGUAUGUUUAAGCAUUCGUGCUUAGUGCCCAUAUAAAUAUUUCCAGUAGUCAUAAAUGAAGUACCAUGCUAAUAUGUAGUAUAUUGUUGAGAGAGUAUUUGAUGAAUAUGUCUAAGCUUGAAAAUUUAUAGUUAUAGGGCGUAAAUUUCAGUCACGAUUCAGUUCGUAGGUGCCCCGUGCAUUGUCUCAUUCUUAUCCUUAGUAUCUCCACCAAGUCAAAUUCUUCAAGGGACAUAGUGUCCUAAGGGGGAAAUGCACUAUAAUCUCUGAGCUUUCAUGUCCUAAACUUUCUAUUUCCUCAUCACAAAACGAAUCCAAUUUGAGGUAGUGGGUACUCAUAGUUGACCCUCAAGUAGCAAUAUCACCCAUAAGCUAUGUACUUAAGGGCUCAGUUUAAUUCUCAAUAUUUAGUUUGUGUAUCACAUUUCAGACUCGUUCAUAUUCUCAUGUGCCUGUUCAUACGUGUUCAGUAAGUGAUCUAAGGCUUAUCAGUGUCCUCAACUUAAGGUAAUAGUCUUCCUUAGAUCUAAUCAGUCCCAUAUUCAGUUACAAACAUAAGUCUUAGUAUCAGUUAUCAUUGCAUAUUCAGUCACGCAUUUAUUAAUCAGUUCAGUCAUGUAUUCCAUGCAUCCGAUAUGCCUGUUCAGUAUAGAAACUCAGUUUGUCAGUAGUUCAGGCAUGUAGUCAUGUUUUAGUAUGCAUGUUCGUGUGUCAUCUCAGUCUAUUAGUGUUUCUUAUCCUAUCCAGUCUCAUUUGAGGAUGAAUGUUCCCAAGGGGGAGAUAUUGUAACACCCCAUAGUUUUACCUAGCUUAAAUUCAUCCUAAAAAUGUUAAAGAGUUUCUUUAAAGAUGAAUACACAUUUAUACAUGUGGAGUUUUCAAUAUUUUGACUUUUGAUUGUGUGGGAAAUUGAAUAAGAUUUCCAUCGAUAUAAAAUUCGCCCAAAUUCGACACUCGGGCGAAGAGUUAGAGACAUUUUAGUAAGACAGUGUACCACCUGGUACUGUAGCGCGUCACGGAGGCAGUUCAAAUGGAAUUUGUCAUUUUUCAGUGAGACAACACGAUUCCACCAUGUCACUCAAUUACACUUUUUCCCAAUUGUCAUUUUCUAGUGAGGUACCACGAUACCGACACGCUGCACCACAACUUAGUUUUACAUUUAUCAGUUUCUAAUACACUUACACAAUCCCACCGCAUUGCAGUGAACUUCAAGAUUUCAUCCAAGCGCAGCCCUAAAUAAAUGGCCAACUGCUGUUCUGGCCAACCAAGUGGCCAAUACUGCUGCAACCAGGAUUAGAGACUUCACCCGAAUGAAUCCUCCUUCCUUUAUAGGAUCUAAGUCAGAAGAGAAUCCACAUGAGUUUCUCGAUCAGGCUAAAAAAGUCACAAAUAUCAUGGGAGUGACUUCCAAUGAAAGUGCCAAGUUAUCCACUUAUCAUCUAAAAGAUAUAGCCAUACAUGGUUUAAUCAGUGAAAGGUAGACAAGGGUAUAGAUACAGAGCUGAUAAAGUGGAAAAAAUUUCUACUGCCUUCCUAGAUAGAUUCUUUCCCUUAGAGUUGAGAGAAGAUAAAGUGUUAGAGUUCAUCAAUCUCAAAUAAGGUAGUAUAAGCAUAAAAGAGUAUUCCCUUAACUUUACUCAGUUAGCCAGGUGUGCUCCAUAUGUAGUAGUAGACAAUAGGCCCAGAAUAAGAAAGUUUGUAUCUGGGGUGUCAGAUAGGGUGGUUAAGGAGUGAAAAAUAGAAAUGCUGAUUAAAGAGAUAGGCAUAUCUAGGCUUAUGGUCCAUGCUCAACAGAUUGAGGAGUAAAAGCUUAAUAAGAAGGAGAGAAAGAAUUAAAAUGCUAGAACAGGUAGCUUUAAUUUUAGUCAGCCUAAGUCAGAAGAUAGUAACCAUUCCCAGUUUCAUCCAAAAUCUUCAGUUCCAGCUUCAUCUUCAGCUAGUGCGCCAGUACCAAAAUUCAAGAAUGACCAUUGGGAUAGGGCGCAGGCUCCAAAACCCAGGGUAGUGUGAGCAGUGGUCGUAGCCAUCCACUUUGUGAAGAAUAUGGUAAAAAUCACCUAGGUGUGUGUAAAUUCGGUAGUAAUAUGUGUUUUAGAUGUGGAAAGUUAGGUCAUAGAGUCCGAGAAUGUCCUAAGGCUAGUCUGCAAAGUCAGCACAGUCAUCUUCCAGUUCUAUCCGAUCUCCCAACUCAGAAGGGCUCUACUUCCAGUACCACUAGUGGUCAACACUAGAGCAGAUUUUAUGUACUCCAGUAUCACCAUGAUCAGGGAAGUUCUCCUGAUAUAGUUAUGGGUACGUUAUAAGUUUUUCAUCUUUAUGUUUAUGCCUUGUUAGAUCCCGAGGCUUCUCGUCCUUUAUAACCCCUAUAUAGCCAUCAACUUUGGUGUCAGACCCGAAAUAUUAGCAGAGCCCUCCUCAGCGUCUACCUCAGACUCUAGAAGUAAAGUGAUGAUAGUUUUGUUUGGAGUUUAUUAAGUGAUCCACAGGUUUAGAAUAAUGGCUCUAAACUAAAGGGGAGAUAGUAGAACAAGUAACCAAGUCAGGCAUUUAAAUUUUAGUGGUAAAGUCAGUACUCAUGCCUUAUAUGUUAGUUCUAUAAUCACAGAUCAUAUUCGCGUACAUCAUCGAAAAAUCAUGCAUGCCUAAAAUUCUUAGUAUAAGGAGUUCUAGUUCACUCAGUACUCAGUUCCAUUAUAGUCUCAGUUAUCAUCUUAGAUGCAGUCUCAGUCACAGUCUUAGCCUAGUAAUCAGAUCAGUAUCUCUAUUUAAAGACUAUUUUAUAAUCAAAUUAUAUGCUAGGUCCUGCAAUCUUAGAUAAUUCAGUUUUCACGAAUUCAUGAUCAGUUAUGUCAUGAUACUCAGUCAGUCCCUUUCUCAUAUUCAUAAUGCUCUACAGUUUUAGUCCAAUUAUUUUGACCAAGUAUAGUUCAGUCUCAUGCGCCCAAUAUUCCCCUAUUAGCCAUUAAGUUAAUCAAAUAAGUUAGUAUGUUUAAGCAUUCGUGCUUAGUGCCCAUAUAAAUAUUUCCAGUAGUCAUAAAUGAAGUACCAUGCUAAUAUGUAGUAUAUUGUUGAGAGAGUAUUUGAUGAAUAUGUCUAAGCUUGAAAAUUUAUAGUUAUAGGGCGUAAAUUUCAGUCACGAUUCAGUUCGUAGGUGCCCCGUGCAUUGUCUCAUUCUUAUCCUUAGUAUCUCCACCAAGUCAAAUUCUUCAAGGGACAUAGUGUCCUAAGGGGGAAAUGCACUAUAAUCUCUGAGCUUUCAUGUCCUAAACUUUCUAUUUCCUCAUCACAAAACGAAUCCAAUUUGAGGUAGUGGGUACUCAUAGUUGACCCUCAAGUAGCAAUAUCACCCAUAAGCUAUGUACUUAAGGGCUCAGUUUAAUUCUCAAUAUUUAGUUUGUGUAUCACAUUUCAGACUCGUUCAUAUUCUCAUGUGCCUGUUCAUACGUGUUCAGUAAGUGAUCUAAGGCUUAUCAGUGUCCUCAACUUAAGGUAAUAGUCUUCCUUAGAUCUAAUCAGUCCCAUAUUCAGUUACAAACAUAAGUCUUAGUAUCAGUUAUCAUUGCAUAUUCAGUCACGCAUUUAUUAAUCAGUUCAGUCAUGUAUUCCAUGCAUCCGAUAUGCCUGUUCAGUAUAGAAACUCAGUUUGUCAGUAGUUCAGGCAUGUAGUCAUGUUUUAGUAUGCAUGUUCGUGUGUCAUCUCAGUCUAUUAGUGUUUCUUAUCCUAUCCAGUCUCAUUUGAGGAUGAAUGUUCCCAAGGGGGAGAUAUUGUAACACCCCAUAGUUUUACCUAGCUUAAAUUCAUCCUAAAAAUGUUAAAGAGUUUCUUUAAAGAUGAAUACACAUUUAUACAUGUGGAGUUUUCAAUAUUUUGACUUUUGAUUGUGUGGGAAAUUGAAUAAGAUUUCCAUCGAUAUAAAAUUCGCCCAAAUUCGACACUCGGGCGAAGAGUUAGAGACAUUUUAGUAAGACAGUGUACCACCUGGUACUGUAGCGCGUCACGGAGGCAGUUCAAAUGGAAUUUGUCAUUUUUCAGUGAGACAACACGAUUCCACCAUGUCACUCAAUUACACUUUUUCCCAAUUGUCAUUUUCUAGUGAGGUACCACGAUACCGACACGCUGCACCACAACUUAGUUUUACAUUUAUCAGUUUCUAAUACACUUACACAAUCCCACCGCAUUGCAGUGAACUUCAAGAUUUCAUCCAAGGGGAAACGAGAUUCCACCGCAUCACGUUGAUGGUCCAAUUACCAGUUGUCCACCUUCUUGUGACACGGCGCGAUAGCACCGCGUCGCGCUCAGGGCCCAGAUCAGGAUUUUUUAGUUAAUUUCCAGUUUUAAAUUUUGAGAUUUUAAAUUAUUCUAGGGGUAUUUGAGUCUUUUUCCAAGGCCCUAGUGAGACUUUAACACAAAAUUCAACUCUAAUAAACCUAGUUACACCAUUAUUCAUUCAGUUUUUCCCCAAAAUUAAAUUAUUCUCUCUCAAGAGGCAAAAACUCUAGUUCAAGAAUCAAGGUCAAUUCUACGAAAUCUCUCCAAGAACUCUUCUUCUCAGGUAUUUUAGGUGUUCAUUUAUGGGUUCCUUUCACCCAUAGAGUCCAAUAAUCCCUUUUUAAAUAUACAAGAUCUUAGAUUUAUGAUUUUUGUAUUUGAAUUAGAUUGAAUUCAUUUUUAUAAUAUUAGUUGGAUUCCAAUCCAUGAUUUAAGUGCAAGUUUCAUGAAAUUGAAUAGCAUGUGUAGUGAAUAUGUGAUUAUCUUGAUAAACCCUUGAAUUUACAAAGUGAUUAAUGUGUCUAUGAUAUUAAUUGGGUUUUAAUCUAUGAUUAUUAUAUGACUCAUUAAAUUAGAUUAGUAUUCUUAUGGGGAAUUAUAUAAAUUGCAUACUAAACUCACAGAAUUGUAAUUUGGGCAUUAUAGUUGCCAUGUUUAUAUGUUAUCCAUGAUUAUGUGCAUGAUGUUGAGCUCCCUAAGUGUUUGAUAGAAUGUCCAUGUGAAUAAAGAGAUAAAAUCAUGACAUGUUAGUAUAUGAACAAGCUUAUGCCCUACAAGUGUUUGAUAAAAUGCUUAUGUGAAUUGACUAGUGAAGGCAUGCCAUGUUAUUAUGUGAUCCAAUCUAUGUACAAGUUAAUGCAUUACAAGUGUCUGAUAAAAUAUCUCUUCAAAUGAAUUAUGACCAAGUGAACAUUGUUAUGUUAUUCAAGAUGAUACUUUGCUUUACUUUUCAUACUAUCGAGUCCUGAGGGUAUUUAACACCCGACAAUAUAGCUAUUACUUAGAGCUAGUGUCAGUUACAGAAUAGUAUCAGUCAUGUCACAAUCAGUAGUACUCUCAGCCUAUUACAUAACUCAUUAGAACUCAGUCAGUUACAGAAUAAAGAAAAACUCAGUAAACUCUGUAUCAGUCCAGUCUAGUCUAGUGUCUUCUAGUUGGGAGUAGAAUUCAGCACCGAAUGAACCCAGGGAUGGGGGAAUUCCUAUUAGUGUAGGGUUUGACCCUUAGUAGCAAUCCUGAGUUACAGAACUACGUAGCCAGCAUAGGUUGAGAUGACUUCCUGUUUGAUAAGGGCUGACACAUCUGUCAUAAGUUUUCCUGUCAGCGAGGGUUGACAAAAUGUCUUCCUGCUAGUUAGGGUUAAGUCACAGCUAGUGUUAGUACCAUUGGAAUGAUAUUAGCACCCUUCAAACUGGGGUUACAUGUUAGACCCCAAUCAGCUUAGAGAGGGGCAUAUUGGUUAGAUGAUUUCCUCCCACAGUUUUAAUUUCAGUCUUUAAUUUAGAACUCUAUUCAGCUCUAUAGAAUUAGAACUAUCAAAAACAGUCAAUCAAUAUCACAAAUUUAGUUAUCAGUAAUUUUGGAUAUCAGUUUUACAGUAUUUAGAACUCAGUACUUAGCUUCAGAAAAGCUCAGUUAUAGUAUAUGCGUACUCUUAUAUUCAAUUACUCUAUAUUAUUUAGUCAAUUAUUGUUCAUGCAUAUGAACCCUUACAUUCAGACUUACCUCAUCUAGCAUACCAGUACAUUCCCACGUACUGACGCAUACUUUCCGCGCUAUGAUGUUUCAUAUCAUAGGUUUGGAUGCUCAGGUUCCUGACUGCGCUUAGCCAGACUCAACCAGCAGUAGUAGAUUUAGCAGUGAGUCCUUAUCUAUUGAAGAUAUGCUUUCACUUCAGUACUUUAGCUUAGCAGUAUUUUAGUAGAUGGAGUUAGUUGGGGGAUUGUCCCAUCAAUUCCACUUUCAGAUAGAUUCAGUUAGAGGCUUUUCAAACUAGAUUUUCAGAUAGUAUUUUAGAUUCAGAUGUUAUAUUUAUUAGUAUUUAUGAUGUUUUGAACCUUAUGGCAUUUCAUCCCAAUUUUCCCUCAUUAAUUUCAGUAUUAUUAUUCAGUGCUCACAAUAAAUAUCAUUCAUGAGUUAUCUUAUGGUCCUUCGGGGUCAUAAGCACAGUGUGACGACUAGGGGUAGUCUCAGGUAGUUACAUCCUUAUUUCUUAGGGUAAGGCUUUCUAACAUAACCUUCUAAAUAUUUAUUCGAUGUGAUAACUCUUUUUAGGAUGAUAACCUCAACUUUUUGCCACCUCAUUUCUGAUGGCACACUCUUGUUUUCCAUAUACCCUCCAAUUUCCUCCAGGAGUAGGGUCACUUCUACAUCUCCAAAUUUAAACACUGAUCUUGUCUCCUCCCAAAAUGCUGGGGAAGCUUCAAUAAGCUCUCUACACGGGGAAACUUGCAUAAGGGAUGGCUCGCUUUCCAACCCCUUCUUGCUAUGCUUUGCCAUAACAACCUAAGUCCAACCACCAAGACACCAUGUGUGGUGGCAUGCACAAAACCAUGCAAAACCUUGGAUAAGAAGUUGGAAUGGCCAUAGAAUCUCCAAAAACAAAGUGUUUGCCUAGCCUACCCCCAAGAUCAAAUGACAUUAUUUAGGCAUAAUUGUCUCUCAAAAUGCACAUAAAUAGGUAGACAUUCUUUUCGAGAAUAUGGAAUCUCUUAGAACUUAGGGCUAAGCUUUCUAAUAUAACAUCUUAGGCUUUUAGGAUGUUUAUUCUUUAGUAAAUAAAUGGUUAGGCUCUAGGAAUAAGAGUAGUUACGUACACGGUCCCUUCAAGUGGACAACUUGUGAGUGGGAAAGCUUAUGGCUGUCGAUGUACCACUGAUCGAUCAAUCUACAAGGAAUUUCCCAAAGGUGUUUUAGGAAAGAACGUCCGUGUGCCCACAUAACCAUUUGUAAAAGAAAACAAAAGAGGUUCCAAGUAAAGAAAAUUAUGAGCGGAAUGUUAGUUAUAUAAAGUAGUAACCCAUAACACGUAGCAAAAUUAUAAUAACAUGCUUAGCAAUAUAAAAGUAAAUUAACAUUGAAACCUAUAGCUAACAGCAAGGAAAAAAAUAGGAUAAGCAUGGAGAAUACAUAAAAAGGGGAAAUGAGGAGAGACUAACAUGUAAAAAUAAACCAGGAUUAAAAUAAACAAUAAAAAAGGAAAGGGAUAUGGAAAAUGUUAACGUAGAAAAUAAAUCAUGAUGAUAAAAUAAAACAAACAUCAAAACAAAACUUAGACAAGUAGAAAGAAUCCCACAUACAACACAAAUUCUUCAUGGUUAGAACGUAAGAUCCGCCACAGAGUCGCUAUUUUGUCGCGCCCUAUUUUUCUUGCAAAAAGCAAAAUUCGACAUGGCAACUCUUUUAAGGAUGAAUUAAAGUGUGUGAAGAGUCACCACCUAACAUAUUAAGGUAUGUUAGUGCACCAUUCUAGGUUAAAUAUGAGCCUAUUUUGUUAUUUAGUCUUUGUUCAACAGAAAUUUGGGUAAGUGUUCAAAUUACCUCGAAAGAAAGGUGUUAGGUAUCUUUCGAGGUCCACAAAUGUGGUUACUGACCGAAUUCAUAUUUUUAAGUGGGAAUUCUACGUGAUAAAAUAAAGGUCACUUAUUUUGCAAACUUAAUGUUACUAAGUGAUAAAAAUAAUAAAUAAAACUUUCAACUAGUGUACAUAUCAUACAAAGAGUAACAAAAAUACUAGAGAAAAAUACGAGAAAUGUGAGACUGAUCUCUUGCGACAUGUAAAUAAUAUCAUAAUUCUUGUAAUCUUCAUCUUUCCCAAAUUAUGGACUCUAGCAAGCUCCUUUUCUCUUAGCAUGAGGACAAACUUGGAGGAUGAUAAACUAUAAAUUGAGCUUUUGUUAAAGUAAGGAGAAACUACAAAUGAUGCAAAACUUGUUAGUAAUAUACGUGUCACCUCAAUUUUGGUGACAAAUUAAUGUAAAAGAUUAAUAAAAGUAAAUAAGUAAUUCAGUAAAACAUACAUAAAAUAAAAGGAUAAGCGAGAAUAUGAGUGGGAUUAGGGCUUGAUAAGGUUGAAACGGGCCCAAUACGAUAUUACUUUAUUUGUUCUAAUUUCUAUGUUGACUCUCUUAAAUGCCAUAAGGCAAGAUGAAAAAAUUCUUAAAGAAACUUAUUUAACAGUACUAAAUAAAUAUUUUUGCAUUUAUAGGUCAUUUGAAGCAAAAAAAUAUAUAGGCGUAACAUAUAAAUUGUUUCAAAGCGUAUUGCUAUAGUAUAGUAGUAAAAGUUAUCUAGUCAUUGAAACGUUUAAAAUAGUGACAUAUUAAAUAAGAAAAAAAGGGUGUCACGAGGCGCUUUAUAUUUUAAUAAAGCUAUGUGUGCUUUAUAUGAGAAGUUAGAUAUUGUCUGUCUUUGUUUGUCAUUAUUUCCCAAAAUGUACCUUAUCUCCACUAAGGGGCGACUACUCCCUUUAAACUCAAUUUCACGUGUUACUUUUCCACUCACCAUGGUUGGACUCCAACUAUUUCCAACUCCAUUAUGAUGUACAUGUAAAACAAUAUUUAAAGUGUGUGUUGGGGGGAGAGUAUAUCUAUUUUUUGCGUAGCCAAUUAGUUGAACAAAAAUUAAGCCGUAAAAAUAAUAAAGACUCUUAAUUAAAAUAAGCACAUAAUUAAGAAGAAAAGGAGUUAGAUAAUUGAGUGUUUUCAGAUCACUUUUUACUGGACAAUAGAAUUUGACAUAAAUUUGUACAUCGUCUUGCUCUUCUCAAUAUUAAAAUAAUAAAGUAGUCGUUAAAAUUUUUUGCAGCGGCCCAAUGCAUUGCUAGCUCAAGAAAACAACACUAUUGAUUAAACUAAGAAUUACGUUAACUAUUGAUAAUUCUCAUCUUGAUUAAGUUUUUACUCAUGCAUGCAAAAGCUCACUAUGACAUGAAAAGUUUAUUAUAUUACAUAUAUCAGUUAGUAUGAAAUAAGAGAAUUAAUAAUAAAUAUAUAGAAGUAUAAUUGAAGAUGGUUACAACUUCUAUUUUGGAGACAAAACAUGCUAAUUGUUGAUUAAUUAAUAUAAAGAGAGCAACUAGAGAGAGAUCCAACUGUUCGACAGAAGCAACAAACACACAAAAUGGAGUAAAAGAAAUGUAAAGGGUGGAUCUUUUACAACAAAUGAGUUUAUUCAAUAUUAACAAAAAGUUUUCAAUAAAUUCACAAGAUAGAUAUCUUAAAUAGACCACAGUUAUCAUUCGUUUUACACGUUUCUUAUUAGCAUUCAUUGUUUGAGCACAUAAUAACCAUUAACCCAAUGUCAAAUGAGCAGUACAAAGUAAAACUAAAAGAUUCUAACAAUAGACAUUAAUAAUGAUACAAAUAAGCAAAUAAAAUAGAAAAUAAAGAAUUGUAAAAGGAGGACCUUGAAUCGACGAAUCCGACCAUUUUAUACAGAGAAAUCAGAAUAUCAAGAAGAGUCCCUCAAUGGAUCCUUAACGUCGAUCUAAAUUGCAACCAGGUAUGUCUCACGGGAAACUCAUAAUGAUUUUCAUGGUUGACAAUGGAAGAUGAUAGAGCCAUAGAGAUUGCUGCCUUCUGCAUCUUGGCCCAAGUUCAAUAGUGGUGUUUUGAGUUUUUGGGGGGAUGAAGGUGGUGUUCCCCCAUGUAAAUAUCAAAGCUGCAAGGACAUAUGUGUCCUCUAUAGCAUCAAUUAUAUGCGUUUUUGGAGAAGAAAUAUCACAAUUAGUGGCAUUAUGUAUGUAAUUGCCUCAUAAAGAAUGACGUGAGAGAGUUGUGUUUGCUCCUCUGUGUGUGUCUCUAUCCAUGUUCUCUCGUUCCCCCAAG
This 15443-nucleotide long non-coding RNA is filed under the name Capsicum annuum. RNAcentral's name for it is "long non-coding RNA (CANN_LNC002472)". Lineage: Eukaryota; Viridiplantae; Streptophyta; Magnoliopsida; Solanales; Solanaceae. The record is from RNAcentral.